RNAcentral lists this ribosomal RNA (497 nucleotides) under uncultured bacterium. Its description in RNAcentral is "partial 16S ribosomal RNA". It matches the Rfam family "Bacterial small subunit ribosomal RNA", at positions 28 to 507 of the family's 1533-position model. The record is from RNAcentral.
GAUGAACGCUGGCGGCGUGCCUAAUACAUGCAAGUCGAGCGAACGGACGAGAAGCUUGCUUCUCUGAUGUUAGCGGCGGACGGGUGAGUAACACGUGGAUAACCUACCUAUAAGACUGGGAUAACUUCGGAAAACCGGAGCUAAUACCGGAUAAUAUUUUGAACCGCAUGGUUCAAAAGUGAAAGACGGUCUUGCUGUCACUUAUAGAUGGAUCCGCGCUGCAUUAGCUAGUUGGUAAGGUAACGGCUUACCAAGGCAACGAUGCAUAGCCGACCUGAGAGGGUGAUCGGCCACACUGGAACUGAGACACGGUCCAGACUCCUACGGGAGGCAGCAGUAGGGAAUCUUCCGCAAUGGGCGAAAGCCUGACGGAGCAACGCCGCGUGAGUGAUGAAGGUCUUCGGAUCGUAAAACUCUGUUAUUAGGGAAGAACAUAUGUGUAAGUAACUGUGCACAGCUUGACGGUACCUAAUCAGAAAGCCACGGCUAACUACGUG